Molecule: ribosomal RNA, 435 nt
Filed under: uncultured prokaryote
Description: partial 16S ribosomal RNA
Source: RNAcentral
CCCUAUGGGGUGCAGUUAUACUGGUCAUAGACGGCCUGGGUUCAUCUUACGUCUAUCCGGAGCACAAUGCCUAUGCUCUGGACGGCUCGCCUCUGGAUAAGGCGGUGCUAUUCAACCUCACCGGCGGUGGGGCGCGGGCGGUGGAUGUGCGAGUGCCAGUCCCCGAGACCACAAAGAGCCAUUCCGUUCUUGUCACCGGCAGAUCGGAAGCGGACUGGGACCAGCUCGGCCACACCAUCUUCGACCUCGCCCGGGGGGAGGGGUAUUUAUGCCUUGCCAUUAUGGAGCGGGGAGACUCUAUGUCGAUCAUGGAGGAUAUGGAUGCAGUCCUUUACCUGGAGGAUAACGCCCUGCAGGGCGCUGAGCCCACACCGGGAUUUCGGCCCGAUGCUCCAGAGGGCCUGCGUACCCUCGUUCAGGAAUUGGCGGGGGGGC